This 443-nucleotide ribosomal RNA is filed under the name uncultured bacterium. RNAcentral describes it as "partial 16S ribosomal RNA". It matches the Rfam family "Bacterial small subunit ribosomal RNA", at positions 338 to 795 of the family's 1533-position model. The record is from RNAcentral.
CCUACGGGAGGCUGCAGUGGGGAAUAUUGGGCAAUGGGCGCAAGCCUGACCCAGCAACGCCGCGUGAAGGAAGAAGGCUUUCGGGUUGUAAACUUCUUUUCUCAGGGACGAAGAAAGUGACGGUACCUGAGGAAUAAGCCACGGCUAACUACGUGCCAGCAGCCGCGGUAAUACGUAGGUGGCAAGCGUUAUCCGGAUUUAUUGGGUGUAAAGGGCGUGUAGGCGGGAGAGCAAGUCAGAUGUGAAAACCCAGGGCUCAACCCUGGGCCUGCAUUUGAAACUGUGUUUCUUGAGUGCUGGAGAGGCAAUUGGAAUUCCGUGUGUAGCGGUGAAAUGCGUGGAUAUACGGAGGAAUACUAGUGGCGAAGGCGACCUGCUAGAACAUAACUGACGCUGAUGCGCGAAAGCGUGGGGAGCAAACAGGAUUAGAUACCCUGGUAGUC